AUACGUAGGUGGCGAGCGUUGUCCGGAAUUACUGGGUGUAAAGGGCGCGUAGGCGGGGAUGUAAGUCAGAUGUGAAAGCCCAAGGCUUAACUUUGGGACUGCAUCUGAAACUAUGUUUCUUGAGUGCUGGAGAGGAAAGCGGAAUUCCCAGUGUAGCGGUGAAAUGCGUAGAGAUUGGGAGGAACACCAGUGGCGAAGGCGGCUUUCUGGACAGUAACUGACGCUGAGGCGCGAAAGCGUGGGGAGCAAACAGGAUUAGAUACCCUGGUAGUCCACGCCGUAAACGAUGGAUACUAGGUGUAGGAGGUAUCGACCCCUUCUGUGCCGGAGUUAACACAAUAAGUAUCCCACCUGGGGAGUACGGCCGCAAGGUUGAA
This 377-nucleotide ribosomal RNA is filed under the name uncultured bacterium. RNAcentral describes it as "bacterial SSU rRNA". It matches the Rfam family "Bacterial small subunit ribosomal RNA", at positions 523 to 898 of the family's 1533-position model. The record is from RNAcentral.